Molecule: ribosomal RNA, 505 nt
Filed under: Fusarium sp.
Lineage: Eukaryota; Fungi; Ascomycota; Sordariomycetes; Hypocreales; Nectriaceae
Description: eukaryotic LSU rRNA
Rfam family: 5.8S ribosomal RNA (bases 130-283)
Source: RNAcentral
CCUGUGAACAUACCUAUAACGUUGCCUCGGCGGGAACAGACGGCCCCGUAACACGGGCCGCCCCCGCCAGAGGACCCCCUAACUCUGUUUCUAUAAUGUUUCUUCUGAGUAAACAAGCAAAUAAAUUAAAACUUUCAACAACGGAUCUCUUGGCUCUGGCAUCGAUGAAGAACGCAGCGAAAUGCGAUAAGUAAUGUGAAUUGCAGAAUUCAGUGAAUCAUCGAAUCUUUGAACGCACAUUGCGCCCGCCAGUAUUCUGGCGGGCAUGCCUGUUCGAGCGUCAUUACAACCCUCAGGCCCCCGGGCCUGGCGUUGGGGAUCGGCGGAAGCCCCCUGCGGGCACAACGCCGUCCCCCAAAUACAGUGGCGGUCCCGCCGCAGCUUCCAUUGCGUAGUAGCUAACACCUCGCAACUGGAGAGCGGCGCGGCCACGCCGUAAAACACCCAACUUCUGAAUGUUGACCUCGAAUCAGGUAGGAAUACCCGCUGAACUUAAGCAUAUCAA